This 439-nucleotide small RNA is filed under the name Arabidopsis thaliana (thale cress). Its description in RNAcentral is "ATSL219980". The record is from RNAcentral. Lineage: Eukaryota; Viridiplantae; Streptophyta; Magnoliopsida; Brassicales; Brassicaceae.
UAACACUAGAUUUUAAUUUAAAGUUAGUAUAAUUUUUUUUUUGCAAAUUGUAUCUAUCUAUAAUAUAUUUUUAUUUUAUAGUUUACAAUUGUUAUUAAGUAACGUCCUGCCAAACCCGUCCCGCCAAACCUGUCCUGUAAAAAAAUCAUUUAUUUAUAUUAAUAUUGAUCUUAUUUAUGAUAUGUUUAUAAAUCAUUCUCUAAAUAUUUUUGUCGAUGCAGGACAUUGAACCCACACAUUGUUUGCCAAUUGGUUAAUAUAUGUUCAUUUUUAAAAUUUUGAAUCAUAAAAUGUGACAGAAAAAAUUAAGAUUUUUUUAAACUCUAUAUAUUAUAUAAUGAUGUUAAAAAAUUGUGAUAUAUCAAACUUUUUAUAAGUUUAAAUAUUAAUAAUGUUUUAUAAAUUUUAAAUAUAUAAAUAAUAAUAUUUAAAAAAUUAA